Molecule: ribosomal RNA, 253 nt
Filed under: uncultured bacterium
Lineage: Bacteria
Description: partial 16S ribosomal RNA
Rfam family: Bacterial small subunit ribosomal RNA
Source: RNAcentral
UACGAAGGGGGCUAGCGUUGCUCGGAAUCACUGGGCGUAAAGCGCACGUAGGCGGAUCUUUAAGUCAGGUGUGAAAUCCUGGAGCUCAACUCCAGAACUGCCUUUGAUACUGGGGAUCUCGAGUCCGGGAGAGGUGAGUGGAACUGCGAGUGUAGAGGUGAAAUUCGUAGAUAUUCGCAAGAACACCAGUGGCGAAGGCGGCUCACUGGCCCGGUACUGACGCUGAGGUGCGAAAGCGUGGGGAGCAAACAGG